Canis lupus familiaris (dog) is the source of this 887-nucleotide long non-coding RNA. RefSeq lists it as uncharacterized. Lineage: Eukaryota; Metazoa; Chordata; Mammalia; Carnivora; Canidae. The transcript has 3 exons. The record is from RefSeq and is a predicted model, not a curated record.
UCCAGGAUCAUGCCCUGAGCCAAAGGUAGAAGCUCACCUGCUGAGCUACCCAGGCAUCCCAUAAAUAAAAUAUUUAUAAAAAAAAAAGAAAAAGAACACUUUAGAUUUACAGAAAAAUUGAGUAGAUAGUAUAGUUUCUGAUUACCUUGCACAGUGUCCUUAUAUUAAUAUGUACAUUGAUUGUAAGUAAUAAACUAAGAUUGAUACAUUAUUAUUUUUUAAGAUUUUAUUUGUUAGAGAGCAGGAGUGGGGGGAUAAGGUAGAGGGAGAGGGAUAAGCAGACUCCCCACUGAGCAGGGAGCUUGACUCCCAACUCAGUCCCAGGAGCCUGGGAUCAUGACCUGAACCAAAGGCAGAUAAACCAACUGAGCCACCCAAGCACCUUGAUACAUUAUUGUUAAUGAAAGCCUGUGGUUGAUUUAAAUUUUCUUAGUUUUUACCUGAUGUCCUUUUUCUGUUUCAGGAUCCCUUCCAGGAUAGUACAUCAGAUGUAGUCAUCAUGUGUCCUUAAGCUCCUCUUGGCUGUGAAAAUUUCUUAGACUUUCCUUGUUUUUGUAACCUUGAUGGUUUUGAGAAGGACUGGUCAGGUUUAGAAGUCUAGGUUGCGAGUAAUUUCUUUCAGCCCAUGAAGCCAUCACUCAUUUUCUGGCCUCCAUUGAUCCUGUGAAAGCCAGCAAGUAUCACUCCUAUAAAGGCAUCGGCCCAUCUAUUGCCUGAUCGCAGAGACCUUCGACAGUGUUGAGUAGUGGGCCACUGGUGGAUGGUGAGUGGAAUUCUGGUUGUGUCAAUACUUCUGGUUCAUUUUUCUGCAUGUUAUAAAAUAUUUCUUCCAUCUCUACUGUUGCUAGGAUUUGUGUUUUUUGUUAUUAAAUUUAUAGAAUCAUCUA